RNAcentral lists this ribosomal RNA (502 nucleotides) under uncultured bacterium. Its description in RNAcentral is "bacterial SSU rRNA". It matches the Rfam family "Bacterial small subunit ribosomal RNA", at positions 28 to 530 of the family's 1533-position model. The record is from RNAcentral.
GAUGAACGCUGGCGGCGUGCCUAACACAUGCAAGUCGAACGGGGUAUAUAAGCGGAAGUUUACGGAUGGAAGGUUAUAUACUUAGUGGCGGACGGGUGAGUAACGCGUGGGCAACCUGCCCCGUGCCGGGGGAUACCGCCUGGAAACAGGCGCUAAUACCGCAUAAGCGCAUACAGCCGCAUGGGUGUAUGCGGAAAGCUCCGGCGGCACGGGAUGGGCCCGCGCCCGAUUAGCCAGUUGGCGGGGUAACGGCCCACCAAAGCGACGAUCGGUAGCCGGCCUGAGAGGGCGGACGGCCACAUUGGGACUGAGACACGGCCCAAACUCCUACGGGAGGCAGCAGUGGGGAAUAUUGCACAAUGGGGGAAACCCUGAUGCAGCAACGCCGCGUGGGUGAAGGAGCGUUUCGGCGCGUAAAGCCCUGUCAGCGGGGAAGAAGAAAGACGGUACCCGACCAAGAAGCCCCGGCUAACUACGUGCCAGCAGCCGCGGUAAUACGUAG